This is a long non-coding RNA of Amphimedon queenslandica, 1338 nucleotides long. RefSeq lists it as uncharacterized. The transcript is spliced from 5 exons. Lineage: Eukaryota; Metazoa; Porifera; Demospongiae; Haplosclerida; Niphatidae. The record is from RefSeq and is a predicted model, not a curated record.
UUCUUCUUGAUAGACAGCUUUGUGUCUUGAUUGAAUCUUGUCGCUUUUCUUAUUGUUAAAGUAAGCUAUGCACUACAUAAAUAUUAACUAAGUAUCACACUUAACUUCUCUUACCAUUAUAAUACCAAUUGUUGUUUGAACAAGUGCAAUAAGUAUUCCAAUGAUAGCAACAACUAAGUUAGCAACUACAGCAAAAUGCAAUUGCUCCUGUAGCUAUAUACAGUAUUCCAUACCCAGAGAUAACUUCAAUUUUUUAUGUAAUAACUUUGUUAAAACAUUUCCAGGGAAGUACCAAUUGCUUUACUAUAAUGUGUGAAAUUGUCUCUUUUAUUUUAUAACUACCAGGAGCACUGAUCCUACUUUUUAAUGUCCUGUUUCAAUGCUCCAUGAGUAGAUCAGGAGAUAUAUUUCCUCCACAGGUAUACUGUCAUACAUUGGUGCUUCUGGUGUUAUAUUGGCUAGGCAAUUCUUGAGUUGUACAAACAGAACCAUAACUGCACAUAUAAAACAUGAGGUACACGUGUCCGUCUGUGCUUGUAAAAAAUGGAAUGUCACUGCACGAUCCUGUAAAACCCAAGUCAGUAUAGUCACCCUUUAAAAGGGGAGUGGUCUGGCUCUGCAAUGUAUAUCAGUCUGUGGUGAUGCUCAGAAAGUAGAACUGCUAGUGUUUCAUGUAUAAAGCCCAGGAUUCCUUUCAUGGCUCCAAAGCAGGCAUCUACAGCAGUACCAAUUAGUACAACUGUAUAACUGAGUGUAAGCAUGCGUAUGUUGGCAUGUGUAUCUCAGUAUGGAGAAUGGUAACAAUGCUUGGUUCACAGUCGACUUUACAGAGAAUAAUAAAAUCAAGAAGAGAAGGUGGAAAGAAAAAUUAUUGAAUGAACAAAACACUGCAAAAGCAUGCACUUAAAUACUAAAAAGCAAAACGCAUCAUAUGCGUGUAAUUUGUAGAGUUUCAUUGAUAUACAUGUAUGUGACUAUCUCUCAUUCUCCUUAGGUUAAUACCAGUAUCACUGCCAGUACUAUUACCAGUGCUCUUAUUGACUGCCCAAGACAGAGGCAGGGAUUAACUUGCAUACAAUGGGAAAUCAGAAUGCAGCCAGACUAUUGGAGGAGUAUGAAGAUUAUAGCUGGUGUUUCUGUUAAAGUCCCAGAGUGUCCUCCAUAGCCAAAAUGCGUAAGAGGAAAGAUUUACUAGGUCAUGACAAGUAGAGCCUUAUUGCUGUAAAGAAAAACUGCAAACUAUCUGGCACAGGUUGAUAUGGGAGGAGUACCAGCAACACUGGUUAAUAUUGUGUCAAGACGUCAGCCAUUAGCAGUUGCAUAUUUACAUGAGUACUU